This 523-nucleotide ribosomal RNA is filed under the name uncultured bacterium. Its description in RNAcentral is "bacterial SSU rRNA". It matches the Rfam family "Bacterial small subunit ribosomal RNA", at positions 8 to 524 of the family's 1533-position model. The record is from RNAcentral.
AGAGUUUGAUCAUGGCUCAGAUUGAACGCUGGCGGCAUGCCUUACACAUGCAAGUCGAACGGCAGCAUAGGAGCUUGCUCCUGAUGGCGAGUGGCGAACGGGUGAGUAAUAUAUCGGAACGUGCCCUAGAGUGGGGGAUAACUAGUCGAAAGACUAGCUAAUACCGCAUACGAUCUACGGAUGAAAGUGGGGGAUCGCAAGACCUCAUGCUCCUGGAGCGGCCGAUAUCUGAUUAGCUAGUUGGUGGGGUAAAAGCCUACCAAGGCAACGAUCAGUAGCUGGUCUGAGAGGACGACCAGCCACACUGGGACUGAGACACGGCCCAGACUCCUACGGGAGGCAGCAGUGGGGAAUCUUGGACAAUGGGGGCAACCCUGAUCCAGCAAUGCCGCGUGAGUGAAGAAGGCCUUCGGGUUGUAAAGCUCUUUUGUCAGGGAAGAAACGGUGGUAGCGAAUAACUACUACUAAUGACGGUACCUGAAGAAUAAGCACCGGCUAACUACGUGCCAGCAGCCGCGGUAAU